Molecule: long non-coding RNA, 6415 nt
Organism: Macadamia integrifolia
Lineage: Eukaryota; Viridiplantae; Streptophyta; Magnoliopsida; Proteales; Proteaceae
Exons: 10
Source: RefSeq, a predicted model, not a curated record
AAACUGAAAACACCAAGUUGACACCAAACUCUUUAUUCUGUUUUUUUGUUCCCACAUAACGAAAAAACGUCAGAAACGUUUUUCUGGAUGACUACCAAACACAACCUUAAUAUUUUGCUUCAUUGAAGUAGUGGUUUACUAAUAAUCCAAAUUUUCAUUUUUAUUUUAUAUUUAUUCCAUGGUUAUUCGGGAUAAGAUAAUCGCUAUUGAAUAUUUUCUCUUGAGGAAUAAGUGGUGGUUCUCCCUUACAGUUGCUAUCUUUGAAGAAUGAUAUGUAAUCUGUUUAUUAUAUUUUAUUACGGGGCAUGGAUGGAGUGUUUUUCUAGUCAGUGAGUUUUCCUUGAAAAAAUACAUUUCCUUAAAAUAUGUUAGAGACUUGAUUUCAUGCAGUUGCUUUUGUACGUGUUUUGGAACCUAUGUGGGGAGCGAAUGAAUUUUUUAUAUGGCGUGUUUCAUCAUAGUCAAUCCAUCAGCCUUCAAAUUUCCCAUCACUAAGAUUGCCUCAACGGUGCCAGUAAAAUCUUUACCUCAUUAGUUUAUAAGUGGUGUAGGGAUUCUAUUGGUGUUCUUCAUAGGAUUGGGAUAGACAAAUAGCUAGCCUUAAAAUGUACGAACGCCCAACAACCAUAUCAUUUUCCAGGGUUUCUAUUUGUGUUGUUCUCAAAGGUGUUUUCUUUGAUGUUCUCUGAUCUUCUAGAGCUGUGUGUAGUUGCAAAUCUUUUUUUUCCUAUUGUUCUUAUGAAUGCUAUUGAUUGAAAAAAUGUUAAUUUUUGACUCCAUUAAGUUGGGUUAAGGCAAAGUUUAUUGUUAAUAUCGUUAUAUUAGUCAUUUGAUAGGAAAUCCAUGGUAAGAAAAUUCUUUUUCUUUUUCAUUUUUAAUAUGUGUAGGUUAUGAAUAUAUAUCAUUGUUUGACCUGUUUAUUUUUCAUUGUCUAUGGUUUGCGUUCUCUUCUGAUUGGUAGGGGAUGAUCUUCCCUGGAAAAAAAUAGAAUGUCCCAUUUUAUUUCUUCCUUCUAUGCAAUAACCUCUAUUAAGUUUUUCCCAUAUUCUCCUAACAUAACAUUAGGUUAUGCCCUUGUCUAAUAUCUACUAGUAAAUAUGACUCAGUGAUAAUUGUCUGGGUCAAAUUUUUGAUGAUAUUGGGGAACGUCGGGGUUGUUGGGAUUGAAACUAAAUGAGAUGUGCCAUAGUAUUUAUCAAACUGGUAGAUUGAAAUAUUCAUUCAAUUAGUUUUGUAAUUAUAUAUUGUGAUUAAUACUUGAAUUGUUUGACCUUUAAUGAACUAUUAAAAAAUGCCACAUUUGUUUUACUAUGUUGGGGAGGGGCGGGGGACAUUGAAAAUCAAAAGUAUACACUAAAACCAAGUUACGAAAAGUUCUUCAAAGUUUAAAACGUGAAAAAACGAGGUAACGGGAUUUUUCAUUUAUCAGUUGUUUGAUAUUUGUUCAGAUUGUCAUUGUACAUUUUUUUCUCUUUAUAUUUUACACUUUUAUAUUUCUAUGAGCUUGUAGGAAGAUCUACGUAGAUAAUUAUUUAUUCAUGUGCUAGCGGUGAAACCUGGUAUUUAUGUCACAUACAGUUGUGAUUUCUUUGACUGGUUGUUCUUAGAAACUAGAGUAGCUUAUCAUGGAAUUAUAAUUAAAGACGUAUGUUGAUGUUAUCAUUUUUUAUUUACCUUAAAAUAAAUCUUAUAUGCCUGACAGUAUUUUCUUUUUCAACCGAGGGAACUAUUCGAAUAGGACGGAGGAGAGGAAGUAGAUGGCAGGGGAGAAAGGUCACAAAGAGAGAGAAGGAGUGGGGUGCAGACAAACAGAGAGGGAGAUAGUGCGAUGUGGAAAGCGAGAGAAAUCAACAGCUUUUGAAAGUCCGUUUCCAUUAUUGGUGACUUCUUGGAGACAGUGCCAGUGGUGGAAUAUCUGUCAGCAGUAGCAGGAAUAUGAGCAAGAGCCACGGCAAAGGCGUAAACUCUGUCUCUAUUUCCCUUCUCUGAUUCCUCCCCUGGCUGGAUACAUACAUUGCGUCACGUCUAUGAGAUGAUAACUAUAACUUCUGUUUAUCUACUGACCUUUUUUUUUUUGUUUAAAUAUUAUAAUGCAAAGAUCUAUACUGAAGGGUAUUAACGGGUCUCGAAAGAAGCAUAGAUUCUAUCCAAAGAAGUUUUACGAUCUAACAUGAAGCAACAAUGAACGGAGAAGGCAAAAAGAGGCUCAGAUGGUUGUUCACUCUUGCAUUUGUGAAAGGUCUUAUUCAUAUUAAGUUUGCUGAUAAUAUUGAUGACACGGUUCUUUCUUAUUAGCUAGUUACAUCAGGACUACAUCUGUGAUCCUGGAGGGCUAGGCUGACUGAUGUGGAUGUCCAGUGCUGCAUACCUUUACCAAUUUGAGGCAGGGUGUGAUAGAUGAUCUCUUUGACUUGAAUGAUAAAUGAUUUGAUUCUCUCGUGUUUGUGAUAUGGGAGCACAUUCUAUUAUACAUACCUUGUUACAAAGAUCGGGGUGCACGUUAGCAAAGAAACAAAAAAGAAAAGGUGAAAUAAGGGGGUAGUGUAGAAGUAAAUUGCAUUGGAAGAAGUGAAACAGGAAGAGUGCCAGCUGGUGCCACUUCUUUUGGCAUUCUCAUGUGGGGACUCGUAGUUUGUUUGUUUCCCUCUGAAUGUUGGGGUGAGUGAUAAUUAUUUUACUUGCUAGAUAAAUCAAGAGUCCAAAUUUCUGGUACUCAAGUUUUGUCUAUUAAUGUAUUAUGCAUUUUUUUUUUUUUUGCUAAAUAUAUUUUGAUCUGGGACGGGAAAUGUAAUACGGCCACUGCUAUUAUGAUCUCUUUCAUGCUUCUUACUUUUCAGUACAUGGAUUGCAUUUGUACCAUUCCACAUUCCUUAUCGAAAAGCAUAUAUUGGCAUCCAAAAUACGGGGACUGUUUUUACUUGAAGGUUUGAGGUAGAUCGCAUUUACAGUAAGUUCUUGUUAGACUCGUGCAUUUGGAGGGGUUUUAUGAGCUAUUUGUUUCUAAGUUUUAUGUGUCAUUUUGUUAUUUGCCUUUUGAUUUCCAAAUAUCAGCCUCGUCAAUUGCAGGGAAGAGUUCUCAAUAUUGAAAAUAUUUAUCCACUUUUUUCACUAUCGAUCACAUGACUGCUUGGGUUAUAUGAGCUAUUUGUUUUUAAGUUUUAUGUGUCAUUUUGUUAUUUGCCUUUUGAUUUCCAAAUAUUAGCCUCGUCGAUUGUAGGGAAGAGUUCUCAAUAUUGAAAAUAUUUAUCCACUUUUUUCACUAUCGAUCACAUGACUGCUUGUUCUCAACAAUUUAUGGGCACAAGAUCUUCGUUAUGCUCUUUACCAAAAAAAAAAAAAAAAAAAAAAAAAAAAAAAAGAUCCUAGUUGUGCUUACUAUUGAUUUCUUGCACACCAAUAUAUGUAUAUAUGAAUGAAUUUGUUCGUAUAUGCAAUCAUGUGUUUUUUCUUGCACGCGUGUGUAAGUAGAAAAAAAUUGCACCUGUUCUCAUCUUGUGGAUGAUGGAGCUGCUCAAGGAUCCACACAUUCUUGACGCUGAUGAUGAUGAGUUUGUUCUUUUUCUAUCAGUACCAUUAGUUAUGCCUGCACCCUCAUGUGCAUUGAAAAAUUUUGCGCCUGUUCUCAUCUUGUGGAUGGCGGAACUGCUCUAGGUUCCACACAUUCCUUUUUUUUUUUUUUAUAUGUAGAUCCACACAUUAUUUGACACUGAUGAUGAUGAGUUUGUUCUCCUUUUCAAUUAGUACCAUUAGUUUAUAACUGGUGAUUGUUGCUUAGGAUUUAAUGAUUUAAGAAGAUGUUCUAGAUGUGCUGCUCUGGAACUUUUGUUUGCAUCUUUUUCCAAUCACUUUCCUUACUACUGCUAUAUCUUAAGUGGAAAAAAUUCUGAUUGCUGGAAUUAUAUUUUUCUUUGCAAAGCACAUUAAAAUGGACCUUUUGAUGUACAGGAAGAUGAUAUAAUAAUUGAGUUGUUGAAUAAAUAUUGGUCGAAGAAGUGGUCCACCUUUGUUCAAGCGUUACCUGGGCGUACUGGAAAGCAAUGCCACGAAAGAGGAUGAAUAGGAUAUCAUUUUCCUGAAGUGGCAUAUCUUAACCUACAAUCAACAAAGAGGCAUGGGCUCAAGAGGAGGAGUUGGCUUUGAUUCAAGCUCAUCAAAUUUAUGGGAACAGAUGGGCUUAGUUAACAAAAUUUCUCGAGAAAGUCGUUACUUUAGUUCUGCUCUCAACUAUCAGAGAGCCAGCAUUUGUCUUGAUAACUGAGCCCCUAUUUUGUUCUUCAUUCAUUUUGCAAAAGUCAAUGCUGCUUCAAUUGCUUAGAUGCUGGACAGACAAUGCAAUGAAAAAUCACUGGAACAGCUCUUAAAAGAAAGUUGGACUCAUACUUGGCCUCAGGUAUACUCACAAAAUUUCAAGGUCUGCCUCACGUGCCCAAGCCAAACCAGUGCAUGCCUUCCUCCUCACUGAUGACAGAACAGAGCAGUGGAGAUAAUAGUGACCCCAAAUAUGUGGCAGAAGCAGAGGAAAUAUCAGAAUGUAGCCAAGGUUCAACUUCUGUUCGUUGCUCCCAUUCCGAGCAUGACAUGGUUUAUGCGGUUUCAGUACAAGCAGAAGAAGAGUUUAAACUGACAGAGGCAGCUAGUCAAAGAAUUGGGCAAGGCUCUAGUAUGCCAUCAUGUUCCAAACAGUAUUUAUUUUUCAUUCGAAGAUGUUUCAGAAAUACCUCAUGAACUAGCAAUCUCUGUCCACCCUUCUGAGCAAAGCAUAUCCCCUGAGUUGGAGGCUCUGACACUAAUGAUUGCUAUUUCAGUUUACAUGAGUUGCCUCGUACCUGUUCACUGGAAAUGCUCCAGGAAACACCAGGUUUCUUCAAAUCAUCGGCACAGUGUAUGACAAGUGUUGAUGAAAACCACAAAACAGGUUCUGUUCUGUUACAGAACUCUGUUGGUUUCUGUGCUUCUACUUCAAUGUUUCAGAGUCAGGGAUGGAUGCUUUUCUUCGGGUAAUCAGAUUGAUUGCUCAAAUACCAUUGACAUGGAUGGAUGUGUCAAUUCGUUCCUUCGCCGAUCUGGCAUUCAGAGUUCUGAAGCUGAUGAAAGUUUUAGCAUCACGGUCAUAUUAUCCAAUAGAGCGCUGUUUCAAUCUCCUGUGGGUCGUAGGAAGACUCAAACAACUCUCUUAUGCGGUGUCCUUUACUUUUUACCCCUAAUUACUUUCAGCCUGAUCGUUCAAGGUGUCCUCCAACAAAAUAGAAGACGAAGGAGAAGAUGAAAUCUCAGAAGGGGAGUGCAACUCUCUAGGGUCGAAAUCAAGGUUGCUGCUGCUGAGAGGCAGGCUAAGGCCAAGCAGGAUUGGCUACUGAGGUAGCAGGAGAAGGAGAAGGAGAAGGAGAAGGAGAAAGAGAAAGGGAAGGCUCCAGCUUUCGAACCCCCUACAAAGAAGAGGGAUAUGGUAGAGGAUCUGACCCUGGAGGCUGUUCAAGCACUUACUGCUUCUAGGUGGGGUGUGCUUAUCUCAUCCAAAGUUCCUGAUGAGGAUGACUUCCGAUGCCUAGGUAUAUCUCGGGGCCGAACUGAAGCUGGCUUUAUCCGCAGGUGGUCUGUCAAGGAGGAAAACACCUAUGUCGUUAGACAUGUUGCCUUAGAGCUUGUGUAGAAGGGCAGGCUUCUGAGGGAUAUUGUCGAUGCUCAGGAGCAGAGUACUUAGGCUAUGAUCACAAGCGCGUGUAUCUUCAUGGCGGGGGCCAACAACCAGGUCACCCACUCACCAUCCGAGCCGGGGGCUUUGGCCUGAAGCCUUGAGAAGUCCGAACACAAAUGCGAACAGUCCACCCUUGGCAACUAGUGGACCAUUCUUCUUGAGAAGGUAGAGCAUCUAGAGGUUGAGCGUGACCAAACCGCCAGGAGUAUGAGAGCAAGCUUUCGGAGCUGAACGGAUGGGAGUUAGGAAGUACAAGGGCAUGGAUGCCUUCAGGAAGGAGGUGACUUGCGCAACGGCCCCGGGGAUACAUCAUGGGUGCUACCGAGGUCUGAGACUGGAUACUCAAACAUCACUCGGGGUUCUCCUUUGUGGGGAGUGGUCUCAUCUUUGAGGAAGAGGAAGGUGAGAAAGCCCCGACUGUUAUCGAGGUGGCUGAGAUUGCCAAAGGCAGUGAGGACGACGGUGUUCAAUAGACCCAUGAAGUCCCUCUCACCCUCGACCACGACAGUUUCGACCGAGACAUCCUUGUUCGUGCCAACGAUGAGGUCCUUUUUCCUAUCGAGGUUCAGUGAGGGUUGUUUUUUCUUUUGGCCUUCAUGCUCUUUUGAUGUGACUUUGGCCUUUGGGCCUUUUUUUUAUGUAACUUCGGCCUUCGGGCCUUUGUAUGUAUUUUCCUUGUCAAGGCUUCGUUUUUAAUAAAUCUUUUUUGCUUCUCUUGCU